This is a non-coding RNA of Pholiota conissans, 107 nucleotides long. NCBI's taxonomy places the organism in Eukaryota, Fungi, Basidiomycota, Agaricomycetes, Agaricales, Strophariaceae. The record is from the annotation of a GenBank genome assembly.
GGCAACGUGGCCGAGUGGUCUAAGGCGCUGGAAUUAGGUGUGACUCAAAUAUGUCCACGAAAUCAAUCCAGUCCGAAAGGGCGCGAGUUCGAACCUCGCCGUUGUCA